ACACAUACCUGUCAGGGGAGAGACCGCAAUCAAGAAGGUGGUACUCCCAGGAUGUGAGGCAAAUCCAUUGCACUUGGGAUGGGUUGACUCCUGCGGUUUCCCCAAAUGAGGGAAACUCAGUUGCAUAAUUUAUGGUAACGUAGGACUGCAUUUGUGCUUUCCCUUA
Small nuclear RNA from Protopterus annectens (West African lungfish), 166 nucleotides. RefSeq annotates it as U1 spliceosomal RNA. The record is from RefSeq and is a predicted model, not a curated record. The transcript has a single exon. NCBI's taxonomy places the organism in Eukaryota, Metazoa, Chordata, Ceratodontiformes, Protopteridae.